This 1033-nucleotide long non-coding RNA is filed under the name Oreochromis niloticus (Nile tilapia). RNAcentral describes it as "lncRNA (ENSONIG00000031501.1)". Lineage: Eukaryota; Metazoa; Chordata; Actinopteri; Cichliformes; Cichlidae. The record is from RNAcentral.
GCAGGGUUACAGCAGCGGACGGCAGAGCUGGAGCGGAAGUUGGACACAGUGGUGUUGGCGAUGGGAGGGCUCGGACUGCUGAGUGAACACAGUGGCCAAACCCCACACUCUGAGGUUAAAGUUGCAGGUUUGUGCAGUCUGUCUGUGUAUAUUCUGUCCAGAGGAAUUUGGUAAAUGGUGAACAUGGUUUAUAUUAUAUUAUACAGGCUGUCAGUCUGCGACGGGUGCUGAGCGAGUACCUGUUUCCUCUGCUGUCCUCCUCUCACCACCUCAACAGCGGGACCACUUUCAGCAUGUUCCUGGUAACUUUCUCACUUCCAAAAUUAUUAUCUGAUUUCAAAUAUUCACCCCAGAAAUGAUUCACCUUGAGGCGGCUAACUUUUGUUUCUCGUUCUUCCACAGCAACUUAUCCUGCGCCACCGCACCAGCAGCUUCCUGCUGUCGAUCUCCUGCACUCCUAUGGGACCUCCGCGCUCACAGCUCAGACUCUAGUCUCAACAGUCUGCCCCUAGUUCAGCUUCCCUCUGCUUCCUCGCUAUCGCUGACCCCUGACCCUCUUCGCUCACAGAGGUCUCCGGGCACAGUGCUAGCUGAGAUUGCUCAGCUGAGCAGAGAGACCGAUCUUAUCAGGGCUCAACUCAGCCAGGCAAAGGGCCUCGGGUCAGGGGUCAGAGAAUCGCUCGACAGUGGCAAUGAGAGAAGAGGGUUGAGCUGCAGCAGCACCGGGAGAGUAACACCUCAGAGCGCUGCAGAGAGCAGGAUGUCUGGGUCCAGCUGUAAAGAGAGGUGUAGCCAGCAUGUGUGGACUCCUGAAGAACAACAGCUGACUCAACAGGCAACAUCACUCAACACUUUCAGUGCAAACAGUGUGGAGCAAUGCCUCCUGGAGCUGAACAGGCAGAGCGCUGCAGCCCGAGGUCGACUACUGGAAAUAAUCGAGCAACAGAAGCAAAGUGUUUCAGCCAGAGUCUCACCCUCUGUCUCCCUGAUCCCAGCUUCUGCCUUCAGCCCGAAUCCAGAAUCCAGUGGGUAA